GUGAAAUGCUUAGAUAUUACACAGAAUAUCGAUUGCGAAGGCAACUCACAAAGCCAUUAUUGACGCUGAGGCACGAAAGUGUGGGGAUCAAACAGGAUUAGAUACCCUGGUAGUCCACACUGUAAACGAUGAUAACUAGCUGUCGGCGAUAGAUAGUCGGUGGCCAAGCGAAAGCGAUAAGUUAUCCACCUGGGGAGUACGACCGCAAGGUUGAAACUCAAAGGAAUUGACGGGGGCCCGCACAAGCGGAGGAACAUGUGGUUUAAUUCGAUGAUACGCGAGGAACCUUACCCGGGCUCGAACGGUGCAGUAAUAUGGUAGAGAUAUCAUAGCUAGCAAUAGACUGUAUCGAGGUGCUGCAUGGUUGUCGUCAGCUCGUGCCGUGAGGUGUCGGCUUAAGUGCCAUAACGAGCGCAACCCUUGUCGUUAGUUACCAUCAAAUAAAGUUGGGGACUCUAGCGAGACUGCCACCGUAAGGUGUGAGGAAGGGGGGGAUGACGUCAAAUCAGCACGGCCCUUACGUCCGGGGCGACACACGUGUUACAAUGGUAGGUACAGAGGGCCGCUACCCAGUGAUGGGGUGCCAAUCUCAAAAACCUAUCUCAGUUCGGAUCGGAGUCUGCAACUCGACUCCGUGAAGUUGGAUUCGCUAGUAAUCGCGCAUCAGCCAUGGCGCGGUGAAUACGUUCCCGGGCCUUGUACACACCGCCCGUCAAGCCAUGGAAGCUGGGGGUGCCUGAAGUUCGUGACCGGAAGGAGCGACCUAGGGCAAAACUAGUAACUGGGGCUAAGUCGUAACAAGGUAACC
RNAcentral lists this ribosomal RNA (808 nucleotides) under uncultured bacterium. RNAcentral describes it as "bacterial SSU rRNA". It matches the Rfam family "Bacterial small subunit ribosomal RNA", at positions 681 to 1501 of the family's 1533-position model. The record is from RNAcentral.